AGAGUUUGAUCCUGGCUCAGGAUGAACGCUAGCGGCAGGCCUAAUACAUGCAAGUCGAACGGUAAUAUAGUUUUCGGAUUAUAUUUAGUGGCGCACGGGUGAGUAACACGUACAUAACUUACCCUCAAGAGGGGGAUAGCCUCGGGAAACUGAGAGUAAUACCCCAUAGUAUUGCGAAUCGGCAUCGAUAUGCAAUUAAAGCUACGGCGCUUGAGGAUAGAUGUGCGUCUGAUUAGCUAGUUGGUAAGGUAACGGCUUACCAAGGCGACGAUCAGUAGGGGGCGUGAGAGCGUGGCCCCCCACACGGGUACUGAGACACGGACCCGACUCCUACGGGAGGCAGCAGUAAGGAAUAUUGGUCAAUGCCCGGAAGGGUGAACCAGCCAUGCCGCGUGAAGGAUGACUGCCCUAUGGAUUGUAAACUGCUUUUGCACAGGAAGAAACAUUCCGACGUGUCGGGACUUGACGGUACUGUGAGAAUAAGGAUCGGCUAACUCCGUGCCAGCAGCCGCGGUAAUACGGAGGAUCCAAGCGUUAUCCGGAAUCACUGGGUUUAAAGGGUGCGUAGGCGGUUUAGUAAGUCAGUGGUGAAAGCCCAUCGCUCAACGGUGGAACGGCCAUUGAUACUGCUAGACUUGAAU
Molecule: ribosomal RNA, 641 nt
Filed under: uncultured bacterium MK10
Lineage: Bacteria; Pseudomonadati; Bacteroidota
Description: bacterial SSU rRNA
Rfam family: Bacterial small subunit ribosomal RNA
Source: RNAcentral